RNAcentral lists this unclassified non-coding RNA (305 nucleotides) under plant metagenome. RNAcentral's name for it is "partial contains 5.8S ribosomal RNA, internal transcribed spacer 2, and large subunit ribosomal RNA". The stretch from base 1 to 105 matches the Rfam family "5.8S ribosomal RNA", at positions 50 to 154 of the family's 154-position model. The record is from RNAcentral.
GAAAUGCGAUAAGUAGUGUGAAUUGCAGAAUUCAGUGAAUCAUCGAAUCUUUGAACGCACAUUGCGCCCUUUGGUAUUCCUUAGGGCAUGCCUGUUCGAGCGUCAUCUAAACCUUCAAGCCCUGCUUGGUGUUGGGUGCCUGUCCCGCCUCCGCGCGCGGACUCACCUCAAAUCCAUUGGCGGCCCCCGCGUCGGCCACGAGCGCAGCAGAAACGCGAACUCGUGAGCCCGUCUGGGCGGCUCCCAGAAGCUACACCCACCCAGUUUGACCUCGGAUCAGGUAGGGAUACCCGCUGAACUUAAGC